UGAACGCUGGCGGCGUGCCUAACACAUGCAAGUCGAACGAGCGAGAGAUGAACCUAGUGAUUCCUGAGCGAGUGGCGGACGGGUGAGUAACGCGUGGGUAACCUGCCUUACAGAGGGGGAUAACAGUUUGAAAAGACUGCUAAUACCGCAUAAGCACACAGUACCGCAUGGUACAGGGUGAAAAAGAUUUAUCACUGUAAGAUGGACCCGCGUCUGAUUAGCCAGUUGGCAGGGUAACGGCCUACCAAAGCGACGAUCAGUAGCCGACCUGAGAGGGUGAUCGGCCACAUUGGGACUGAGACACGGCCCAAACUCCUACGGGAGGCAGCAGUGGGGGAUAUUGCACAAUGGAGGAAACUCUGAUGCAGCGACGCCCGCGUGAGUGAAGAAGUAUUUCGGUAUGUAAAGCUCUAUCAGCAGGGAAGAUAAUGACAGUACCUGACCAAGAAGCCCCGGCUAACUACGUGCCAGCAGCAGC
Molecule: ribosomal RNA, 478 nt
Filed under: uncultured bacterium
Lineage: Bacteria
Description: bacterial SSU rRNA
Rfam family: Bacterial small subunit ribosomal RNA
Source: RNAcentral